Molecule: ribosomal RNA, 536 nt
Filed under: uncultured bacterium
Lineage: Bacteria
Description: partial 16S ribosomal RNA
Rfam family: Bacterial small subunit ribosomal RNA
Source: RNAcentral
UGGGGAAUUUUGGACAAUGGGCGAAAGCCUGAUCCAGCAAUGCCGCGUGUGUGAAGAAGGCCUUCGGGUUGUAAAGCACUUUUGUCCGGAAAGAAAUCCUUGGCUCUAAUACAGUCGGGGGAUGACGGUACCGGAAGAAUAAGCACCGGCUAACUACGUGCCAGCAGCCGCGGUAAUACGUAGGGUGCAAGCGUUAAUCGGAAUUACUGGGCGUAAAGCGUGCGCAGGCGGUUUGCUAAGACCGAUGUGAAAUCCCCGGGCUCAACCUGGGAACUGCAUUGGUGACUGGCAGGCUAGAGUAUGGCAGAGGGGGGUAGAAUUCCACGUGUAGCAGUGAAAUGCGUAGAGAUGUGGAGGAAUACCGAUGGCGAAGGCAGCCCCCUGGGCCAAUACUGACGCUCAUGCACGAAAGCGUGGGGAGCAAACAGGAUUNGAUACCCUGGUAGUCCACGCCCUAAAGCGAUGUCAACUAGUUGUUGGGGAUUCAUUUCCUUAGUAACGUAGCUAACGCGUGAAGUUGACCGCCUGGGGAGUAC